Non-coding RNA from Abortiporus biennis, 81 nucleotides. Lineage: Eukaryota; Fungi; Basidiomycota; Agaricomycetes; Polyporales; Podoscyphaceae. The record is from the annotation of a GenBank genome assembly.
UCGGAUAUGGUGUAACGGCUAACAUUAUCGCCUUUCACCUUGUGAUCGCGAUAGCUCGGGGUUCGAUUCCCCGUAUCCGAG